RNAcentral lists this ribosomal RNA (446 nucleotides) under uncultured bacterium. RNAcentral's name for it is "partial 16S ribosomal RNA". It matches the Rfam family "Bacterial small subunit ribosomal RNA", at positions 338 to 795 of the family's 1533-position model. The record is from RNAcentral.
CCUACGGGUGGCAGCAGUCGAGAAUCAUUCACAAUGGGGGAAACCCUGAUGGUGCGACGCCGCGUGGGGGAAUGAAGGUCUUCGGAUUGUAAACCCCUGUCAUGUGGGAGAAAAUUAAAAAGAUAGUAUCACAUGAGGAAGAGACGGCUAACUUUGUGCCAGCAGCUGCGGUAAUACAGAGGUGUCAAGCGUUGUACGGAUUCACUGGGCGUAAAGCGUGUGGAGGCUGUUUCGUAAGUCGUGUGUGAAAGGCGAGGGCUCAACCCGCGGACGGCACAUGAUACUGCGAGACUAGAGUAAUGGAGGGGGAACCGGAAUUCUCGGUGUAGCAGUGAAAUGCGUAGAUAUCGAGAGGAACACUCGUGGCGAAGGCGGGUUCCUGGACAUUAACUGACGCUGAGGCACGAAGGCCAGGGGAGCGAAAGGGAUUAGAUACCCUAGUAGUC